AGAUGUUGGGUUAAGUCCCGCAACGAGCGCAACCCUCGCCCUUAGUUGCCAUCAUUUAGUUGGGCACUCUAAGGGGACUGCCGGUGAUAAGCCGGAGGAAGGUGGGGAUGACGUCAAGUCCUCAUGGCCCUUACAGGCUGGGCUACACACGUGCUACAAUGGCGGUGACAGAGGGAUGCAAAGGAGCAAUCCUUAGCAAAUCUCAAAAAGCCGUCUCAGUUCGGAUUGUGCUCUGCAACUCGAGCACAUGAAGUUGGAAUCGCUAGUAAUCGCAGAUCAGCACACUGCGGUGAAUACGUUCCCGGGCCUUGUACACACCGCCCGUCACACCAUGGGAGUUGGCUCUACCUGAAGGCGGUGCGCUAACCCGCAAGGGAGGCAGCCGACCACGGUAGGGUCAGCGACUGGGGUGAAGUCGUAACAAGGUAGCCGUAGGGGAACCUGCGGCUGGAUCACCUCCUU
RNAcentral lists this ribosomal RNA (462 nucleotides) under uncultured bacterium. RNAcentral's name for it is "bacterial SSU rRNA". It matches the Rfam family "Bacterial small subunit ribosomal RNA", at positions 1070 to 1532 of the family's 1533-position model. The record is from RNAcentral.